GCCCGCCCUGGCGACCGAGGAAAGUUUGGAACGAGUGAGGUCGGAGCAAACAUGGAGGACAUGGGAAAAAUCACAUAGUGUUUCGGUGGAGAUCUGACCCACUUUUCCUAAUGUUGGACUUCGAUAAAUUACCGAUACACUCACUAGGUGGUUGUAGAAGGUGUAUGCGAAAGCUUCAAACAAAUUUGAAGCUUUCGAUGCCGUUUUAAUGGCACUAUGAACCUAGACUCGCUAACUGCUGCUUUGUCUCAUAUUGGUAAUCUGGUCGCCAGUUUGACAAAGAAAAACCUGAACUCUAGUGUUCAAGAGAUUCAGGAAGUGGUGUGUCAGUUUGGUGGAGAGGCAGAGCGACACUUGUACCGGGUGCUGAUUGGUCACCUGGAGUGGUCUGGACCUCAGGGAGUAGAAAGUCAUCGACCCUCACCAAACAAUAAUAAUAAUAAUAAGGACAAAGAGACUACCUGUAGUGUUGGCAUAGCCACACUUACGUGGUCAUCCACUAGUGGGGGGGCUGGUGCCCUUCUCUUGCAACAUUUGGCUACUACACUUCCUCCAACAUCUUUCAUUGCUAACCUUGCCAUUGCCACUGCCAACCCACCAAAUCCCAGCAAGUUCAUCAAGCCACAGUGGGUUACUGGAGUGUGCAAGGCACUCAGGCUUUCCCGCUUACAGGAAAUUACUCUUUGUUUAUACCUUCUUCAAGCAACUAAUUCAGAAGUUCGUAACCAGUCCACAGCACUCCUCAAAGCCAAACUUCCAGAUCUUGUACGAGCUUACGUCGACACUGAAUCAGGGGACCGGGAGUUAUUGGAGCUACCAACAGAGUCCCUUCAUCUAUUGCUAACCCAAAUUGUUCAUCUGUGGAGAGAUCCCCCUGCUGCCCUACUACCUCAGGAAUCGAGGCAGGCCUUUAUUUGCGCUUUACAGCGUGAAUUUCCCCGGUCACGUGUCCCUGUAGUUCUUGCACCACUACUUUACUCAGACUCAGACAUUCCUAUGGAGAAAAUAACUCAAGAACAACCAGCCAACAUGGCAAAAAACCUUCUGGAUGGUUCAUUAGCUGAUCUAGUCUUAGAAUUAGGCUACAGUUUCUGCAAUACUGUGGAAGAAUGUAGAAACAAUUUGGCCAACUUUGGGGUGAGUUCCAUAACCCCAGCAGCUGUAGCCAAGGUCUUGGGUGUUAUGGUCCGAACUCACACGGGUUUACCAUCUGAGCCGAUUGGACUUCAAAAUCUAAACUCUCCCAGUUCUCUCUGGAGUGACAAUAAAGACAAGACCCCAAACAACCAGUCUCAGUCAGCCCCUGGUAAUGAAGUAGGUUUGAGUGGAUCAGGAAGUCUCUCUGGCCCUCAUGGAUGGAAUGUUGAGGUUUUCAUUAAGGGUCUACUUGAAGUUGUCCCAAAUCUCAAUGUUAAAGAGGUGAUAGUAAAGUUGGAUCACAAAGGAUUUUUAUUGAAGGACAGACAAGGUUUGAAGCUUCUGAUCACUGCACUCAGAUGUCUUCUCCAAGGCCAAGGAUUGAGGUUGGACUGUUUUCCAGUAGAUUGCUUUUAUCACCAGUGGAAGAACAGUGAAGAGCAAUUAAGUCUUAUUACUCAGAUUCUCAAGAAUUCUGAAAUAUUUUGCUUCGUAGAUUUUCCUUGCCACUUGGUGUCAACUGAUUGCCUUAAAACUCUGCCAGAGCUUGAUAACAAAGAGGUGGCAACAUGGAAAUCAGUGCAACUUCUAGAGAUUCUUCUUUACCUUGGGGAGGCUGGGCAUUUUACAGCUGUCAAAGAAUUGUUCAAAUUUCCUAUCCAGCAUUGCCCAGACAUUUUGGUGCUUGGCUUGGUUCAGGUGACGCUUCCAUACACCAUGUUGCGACAAGACCUUAUUGCUUCACUCAUUCCAAUUUUUCUUGGAAAUCACCCAAAUGCAGCAAUCAUUCUACAUCAUGCUUGGCACACUCAGAAUCAUUCAAGUACAAUUCGUCAGAUCAUCAUGCAUGCAAUGGCAGAGUGGUAUAUGAUGAUGGAAAAUGAUCAGACAAGACUUGGUCGCAUUCUGGAUGUUGCACAAGAUCUUAAGGCUUUAUCACUUCUCCUCAAUGCCCAGUCAUUUCCUUUUGUAGUGGAUUUGGCUUGUUUGGCAUACAGACGUGAAUUUUUAAAGCUGGACAAGUGGCUGACAGACAAGAUUCGUGAACAUGGAGAGCCCUUUAUAUCCUCUUGCAUAAAAUUCCUUCAGCGACGAUGUCCUCAGCUUAUGGGUGGUAAAGAAGAUAUAAUGCCAAAGUCUUCACAGCUACCUCCUGAGACAAUGGCUACUAUUCUUGUUUGCUUAAAUGCAUGUGCUAUGAAUGUCUCGCAAGAACUGUCUGACACCAUAUUGCAAAUGGUGCAGAACUGUAAUCUGAUGAACAGACCUCGCACGCAACAAGUGGGAGUGAUUGGAUUCCCAGGUCCUGGACCAACUCAGUCAAGUGAAGGACCAUUAGGCAGUAUUGCUUCCAGUCUAAGCAAUUUAAGUCUUGGUGCUGGUGUGUCUUCCACAAUCUUCCCAACUGCACCCUCAUCAUCCAUGAGUCUUGGAAAUUUAGGGUCACUUGGUACAGCCCCAGGUUCUCCGGGCCGUCCACUUGGACCCUCCACUACUGCUGGAACUUCACAGUCUCCUCUUUCUUCAAUUUUACCUACUCUACAGCUGGGACCACCACAUCCUGCAGUGGGAUCCCAGCUUGCCACUCUACCUACUUCAUCUAUUAUUCCCUCUUCACUAAGAUCUCAUUCAGUGCAACCAAGUGUUGCCCCGGCCAGACAAAUGGAUAUCUCCCAGAUUUUUGACAUGCCUCAGAUGGUGAGCAAGGAGGUAGAGGAUGAAGCCAAUAGCUACUUCCAGCGUAUUUACAACCACCCUCCGCACCCUACACUUUCUAUUGAAGAGGUAUUGGAUAUGCUGAAGAAGUUUCACGAGUCUACUAAUAAGCGAGAACGAGAAGUAUAUUCCUGCAUGUUACGUAAUCUGUUUGAAGAAUAUCGUUUCUUCCCAACUUACCCUGACAAGGAACUCUUCACUACAGCAAGACUAUUUGGUGGGAUCAUUGAGCAGGGUCUUGUAGAAUACAUGGCUUUAGGAGUUGCACUGCGGUAUGUGAUGGAGGCUCUCCAGAAGCCUCAUGGUAGUAAGAUGUAUUACUUUGGUAUUGUGGCCUUAGAUAGAUUUCGUAGUCGUUUAAAAGAGUAUCCACGAUAUUGUCAACACCUGAUGGCAAUACAACAUUUCAGCGAGUUUCCACCUCACCUUAUUGAGUAUAUCAAGUAUGGAACGCAGUCACAAGAGCCACCUACACGUCCUUCUGGUGUUGUCCUUCCUCCGUCAAUUAAUGUUUCUCCAAGCACACCUGCUCCAGGAACGACAACAUCUGUAGUGACUGCUGCAGUAACUCCAGUAGGGGUUCCCCCUCCACCAGUUGUCUCCACUGUUGUGUCAUCAGUGGCCAAAACAAUUACUGCUACAACCACCACCACUACCACUGCUGCAAUUACCAAACCACAGGCAAUGCCUAAUAAUUCAAGUGCAGUUGGGUCUGGCAAACAGCAACCAACUAUUACUACUACCAACAUCGAGACGCUUCUUGUUGCCACGGAGAAGGAAGAGAAAAUCACUCCACCCCCUGAGCACAUGCAAGACAAGGUUGCCUUCAUCUUCAAUAAUCUUGCACAGGUUAACCUGCCACAAAAAUGUGAAGAGUUGCGUGAAGUGGUUGGGGAGGAAUAUUGGCUAUGGGUGGCACAGUAUUUAGUGAUGAAGCGAGCAUCCAUUGAGAACAACUUUCACACACUUUAUUCUUUAUUUUUGGACCAGAUGAAAAUGAACAAUGUAAAUGCCAUGGUUUGUCGGGAGACCCUCAGGAAUAUCAAGGUGCUUCUGAGGGCUGAUAAAUCGGCUGCCAAUUAUUCUGAUAAGUCUCUCUUGAAAAACCUUGGCCAUUGGUUGGGGAUGCUCACUUUAGCCAAGAAUAAACCCAUUCUGCAUACUGAUAUCGACAUGAAGUCACUGCUUAUAGAGUCUUACAACAAGGGAUUACAGGAGAUGCAGUAUGUGAUUCCUUUUGUGGCUAAGGUGAUGGAAUCUUGUGCCAAGAGCAGAGUGUUUAAACCACCUAACCCAUGGACCAUGGCAAUCAUGAAUGUCUUGGCUGAACUUCACAAAGAACCAGAAAUGAAGCUGCAUCUGAAGUUCGAGAUUGAGGUUCUGUGUAACAAAUUGGAGAUAAAUCUGGAAGAAUUGAAGCCUGCUAAUGUGUUGAAUGACCGAGACCGGAUUGCCCGCCUUAAACCUCAGCUGUCACAGCCAGGAGGAUCUAAGCGAGCAGAGUCGACUCCUCUCUUUCCUGCUCUGCAAAGUUUUCCCUCUACACCAUUUAUGCCAAAGACAAGCUGGUCGCAAGCUGUGCCAACGGGUGCUGUCGUUGAUACAACUGGUGUAACUGUUCAGAGUGCGUCUGUUGGUGCCACACCUACACCCCCAACAGUUCUGCCUCCACAUCCCUCCACCACACCCACACCUAUCCAAGCUCAACAGCAACCUGCCUCAGAGCCACGUUUUAUUUAUUCAGAUAUUAAUGUAACGACUCUCAGGGGUCUGGAUCCUCACAUAUCUGUCUCUGUACCUCAGGUUUGUGGUAUUGCAACCAAUGCACAGGUAAAACAGUUAGUUCGCCAUGCUGUAGACUUGGCCGUCCAAGAAAUUGUUACUGCAGUAAUGGAACGUAGUAUCAAGAUUGCCAUCACUACUGCAGAGCACAUCAUUAAGAAGGACUUUGCAUUAGACCCAGAUGAAUCUCGAAUGCGUGCUGCCACACAUCAUAUGGUUCGAAACCUUACUGCAGCAAUGGCAAUGAUUACUUGCCGAGAUUAUCUGGCCACCAAUAUUACCAAAAACAUCAAGCAGGGAAUGUUGCAAGCAUUUUCCAGGUCCAACCAACAACAGUUACCUCAGCAGAUGGAACAAAUGGAGCAGCUGGCUGCUGCACUUGGCCAAGAGAAUGUUGGCAUUGCCUGUGCCUUUAUCCAGAAAACUGCUGCUGAGAAAGCUGUUACUGAAAUGGAUAAAAGAUUGUCUCAAGAAUAUGAAGCUCGGAAGGUAGCUCGAACGGAAGGACGACGCUAUUGUGAUCCUGUGGUAUUAACAUACCAAGCAGAACGUAUGCCUGAGCUUAUUCGGUUAAAAGUGGGUGGAGUCACUCCACCUCAAAUGGCUGUGUAUGAAGAGUUUGCUCGGAACAUACCAGGGUUCUUGCCUAUUACUGACCAAGAUACAAUGUUCUUAGCUAAACCUGUGCCUAUUACCUCUCAACAGCAGCAGCAGCAGCAGCAACAACAGCAGCAGCAGCAGCAACAGCAGCAGCAGCAGCAACAGCAGCAACAACAGCAACAACAGCAGCAGCAGCAGCAACAACAACAACAGCAACAGCCAUCUCACACACAAGCAGCAUUUGGUAGUGAAGAAUCAACAGCUUUCUUGGUGCUAACAGAGAGAAUCAGUGCCGAGUUGGAGCACACCAUUCAAGCCUUCACAACCCUUGCCCCCACAUCGCCACUUAUACCAAUGCUUCACUCUUUACAUGAAGGACUUCUGCUUACAAGAACCAACAGAGAUGUCCAUGCUACUCAAAUGCUACUUAGAAAGUGUGUAGAAAAUCUGAUGGAAGGUGCACGGGAAUUGCCCAAUGAACCAGAACUGAAUCAAUUAGCGUUGCGCUUCAGAGACUGCCACCUCAUUGUUCUUAAAGCCAUGGCUGAUCAUCGUUCCUAUGGUGUAAUGUGGACAUCAAAGAAUCUUACCAAAUGCUGGGCAGAAGCCAGAGAUGAUAUCAAAUAUAAUCUUGAUGUUGGAGAUUGGUUUAUCCGCUCCAACUUGUUUAACCUUCAGCUUCUGGAUGAACACUUGGCACGGACUCUUGAUGACCCUCGCGUGCACUCCUAUAUCCCUUCUCUCUUUGUGAUGCAACUAGUCCAGGUGUACCUUAUAGAUGACCCCAGCAAUAGUGUGCUAAGAGAAACUGAUUUACAGUUAACCUUAGAGGCCUUGGUACGUAUGUGUCAUUCCCGACAAGCUCCUGAGGGUCUUGUAUCACUCAUUGAGGCACUGCGCAUGAAGCAUGACUUGUUAAGUGGUGAGCGUUUAACUGGAGGAAACAGCCUUAGCGGAUCUACCAAUCCAUUGUCUGCUGGGCCUAGCCUUCACUUUCACUCUGGUGUUACACAGGCUAGAGACUUUCAGGAUCCACCUGCUCUGCAAGAGAAAACCGAAGUAUUAUUGCGAGAAUGGAUACAGAUGUAUCACUCGCCAACGGCUGGCCAAGGCUCGGCAUCUGCUUUCCAGCAUUUUGUAAAGCAAAUGAAUCUACAUGGAAUUCUUAAAACAGAUGAUCUCAUUACCAGAUUCUUUCGCAUCUGCAUCAGCAUGUGCCGAGAUUUGUGUGUGCGUUCCAUCUUAGAGCAAGGCCAGGGCCCAUCACCUACUUAUGUACGCAGCAAAUGUUUCCAGAAUUUGGAUGCAUUUGUACGGCUCAUUGCCUUGUUAGUUAAACACUCAGGAGAGGCUACCAAUCCUACUACUAAGAUAAAUCUCCUUAAUAAGGUGUUGGGAUUAGUGUGUGGCAUAAUGAUUCAUGACAUUGAGUCUAAUGGCACAGAGUUUCAACAGCUGCCAUAUCAUCGCAUCCUUAUUAUGCUGUUCUUGGAACUCAAUGCACCCGAAGCUAUCUUAGAAUCAAUCAACCUUCCGGUAUGUGAAGUAUUGAUGGCCUUCACGCAAACAUUACAUCUGUUGCGACCCAGUAAGUGUCCUGGGUUUGCCUAUGCCUGGCUGGAAAUUGUGAGCCAUCGGGUGUUCAUUGGGCGUAUGUUGGCUAUUACACCACAACAAAAAGGAUGGUCCAUGUACUCCAUGUUGUUAGCUGAUCUCUUUAAGUUUUUAGCACCCUUCUUAAGGAAUGCUGAACUAGCAAAGCCACUAACAAUGCUUUAUAAGGGUACCUUACGUGUGCUGUUGGUCCUUCUUCAUGACUUCCCAGAAUUCUUAUGCGAGUAUCACUAUGGAUUCUGCGAUGUCAUCCCUCCAAAUUGCAUUCAGAUGCGUAAUCUUAUUCUGUCGGCUUUCCCUAGAAAUAUGCGCCUUCCAGAUCCUUUUACACCUAAUCUCAAAGUUGAUAUGUUGCCUGAAAUUACUGUAUCGCCUAAGAUUCACACAAGUGUUGCCAACCUCAUUCAACCUCCAGAAUUCAAGAAAAAUUUAGAUUCCUAUCUAAAAAACAGAACACCUGUAACUUUUCUCUCAGACAUGAGAACUUACUUACAGCAGGUUUCCAAUGAACCUGGGAUGCAUUAUAACAUGUCUGUGAUGAACUCCCUGGUGCUAUAUGUAGGCAUGCAGGCCAUUGCACAGAUUAAUAGCAAGGGUCUCACUCCCUCCAUGUCCACAAUUGCUCAUUCCGCCCACAUGGACAUAUUCCAGAAUCUUGGUGUUGAUUUGGACACAGAAGGCCGAUAUCUGUUUUUGAAUGCUAUUGCCAACCAGUUGCGGUACCCAAAUAGCCACACUCAUUACUUCAGCUGUACUCUACUGCAUCUCUUUGCCGAGGCUAAUACAGAAGCCAUUCAAGAACAAAUUACCCGUGUACUUCUGGAGCGGCUUAUUGUUAAUCGUCCUCAUCCAUGGGGGCUACUCAUAACAUUCAUCGAGCUCAUCAAGAAUCCAUCAUUCAAAUUUUGGAGUCACGAGUUUGUAAAGUGUGCUCCAGAAAUUGAGAAAUAUGUAAUAAGAAACGCAAAUUGCAAAAUUUAGAUUUUUGGCUGCAUUUCGACCCUCGGUAGGGAUAGGGCCCAAAAAAAUGGUGUUGCAGUCAAAGGGUUAAGGUUGUUUGAAUCGGUUGCGCGCUCGUGUAUGGUGCAGAAGGUAUCAACCUCUCGGGAGGGAGAAGCCUGACCACAAAUGCUUCAGACAUAUUGUGCCCCACAAGAUACCUGACUACACACAUCUCCAACUGAGGCAGCAAUCCAAGCACUGUACUUCAAAUUACAAGAUAUAAGAACAUAUGGCACAGGAUUGUGUUACUGCUGACUGUUGGUGCUCUAAUUUUCAUAAUAGAGAUCUCAGGCAGCUAAGACUGUCCAAAUAUGUGAGGUGCUUAGCUAAAAGCUAAUUAAUGUAUUGAAUGGAAAUGUUAAACAUAAUGACUUCUCAGACUGUCCUCCAAGGAAGCCGUAAAUCGUACUGCUUUAGAUGGAGGUGCCAAGUGAAAAGCGAGAGCUAUUGCUGUGUUGUGACAAAUAUGUCAGUGGUGUUUUAUAUUUGUUUUAAAUAGAAGCAUUAUAUGUUAUAUUCUGGUGCCUAAAGAGACAAACUAGGUAUCUGUAAAAUACAGAUAAAAUCUGUUCCCAUUUUAACCCACGUGAUUUAUAAAGUAGAGGGUUAAAAGACAAAUAUCCUUUAUAGAAUGCCUAAUGAUUAUUAUGCAGCUUCGAGUCAUUUCCUAAGGGAUUCUUCCUUGACUAUAAUAUAUUGAAUGUUUUACUUGCUGAACCACAAGCAGCAAGGUUUGCUGUCAAGGUAUGUGAUUAUCUUAAGUCACUUAUUUACAGAUAUUUAAUAGUUUGUUUUCCUGGUGACUGGUAAAUUAUGCAAACUUGAAAGACCAAGAACUGUACAAUCUACUUUAUUAAGGACCUUCAGAGUGAAGUAAAAGUGCAUCCUAUAAUGGGUUGUGUAUUUACAGAUUAAAUUUCUGUAUGAAUUAAGACACAUGUGAGACAAAGCAGCCAUACACAGUGUGUCAAAGUACAUAAAAUAAAGAAAUGAAUUCCAGUGAGUGAUAUGUACCUAUAUUUUGUGAUCUUAACUUCCAGGGAACCAUGUGAUGAGCUAUACCUAAGAUGUUUAGAUAAUAUGUGAUGUAGAUUUCUAUGACAUGGCCUUUGCCAAGCCGCUUCUGCAGUAGGAAAGUGAGAAUCAAAGUAUUGGGCAUCAACAGAGUUCAUUAUGAAGAGUUACCUUUAGGUCUAAAAAAGUGGCUCAUAAUAUAAUAGUUGAGUGCAAUUAUAUGAUGAACACUUGAACUAUUAGCUAGUAUUUAUGCCGGAGUUGAGGAAUUCUUCAGUUUGGAGGAUUCUCGGAAGCAUGGCAGAAUUUGACUUGAGUAAUAACACUUCAUAUUUUGCAGAGAUGACCAUUGACGCAAAGCAUGUACAAAAUCCCACCCUCCUUGAUAGUUUCGUAAACUUCACCUUUAAGAAAUAACUUUGUAGGUAUUGUAAGAAGUGUAAUUAAGAUGCCCUGAUGCCCUGAGGCUUUCUAUCCUGCUGUAAAAUUUAAUUACACAAGGUUUACAAUAGCCACUUAACCAAAACAGAUCCGAGGCGUACAGUCAACUUUGCCCAUUGUCUCGUGUUCUGUUGCACCAAGUUUUAUUUAAUUACUUAACCAUUCCCAGGUACAUCCUAAAGGUGUAGUGUUAAAGCACAAAUAUAAGUUGUAGUCUAGGUGCUUCAACCCCCAGGCCUUUAGUUAGCCUUUAGCUUUAAAAAAUUGCAUUUCUUUUGUUACCAUUUUGCCAGGGACUAUUUAAUACUCAUGCCUGGGAAGUACUGUAUUCAUGUUUAUGCCUUAAACCCCUGGAAAUGUUACGUAAACAUAGAACCUGGGAAUUAACACUUUCUCUGUUACCUCGCUUCAAAGAACGUCACAGCUCUCUUAUGGCUUAAGGAAUAAAAAAUUUACAAUAUCGUUAAAUCAAUUAUUAUUUUGUAUUAAUUGUAUAAUAAUAAUAAUAGAGUUGUUGAAGGUUUGAAGAAGGAAACCUAAAAAUUGACCCAUAAUGUGAGUACUACGUUGUGGCUGUACAGUUCAAGUUUAUUUUUGGUGAGGACUUUCUCUAAAGAUAUGCAGUUUAACAGUUUGUGUCAUAUUCUUUAGUCCACUGUAAGUUAAGGAUGUGAAUAAAGGUCUCUUGUAGCAAAGCAAAA
Molecule: non-coding RNA, 10007 nt
Organism: Procambarus clarkii (red swamp crayfish)
Lineage: Eukaryota; Metazoa; Arthropoda; Malacostraca; Decapoda; Cambaridae
Source: RefSeq, a predicted model, not a curated record